AGAGUUUGAUCCUGGCUCAGGAUGAACGCUGGCGGCGUGCUUAACACAUGCAAGUCGAACGGUGAACACGGAGCUUGCUCUGUGGGAUCAGUGGCGAACGGGUGAGUAACACGUGAGCAACCUGCCCCUGACUCUGGGAUAAGCGCUGGAAACGGCGUCUAAUACUGGAUAUGUGACGUGAUCGCAUGGUCUGCGUCUGGAAAGAAUUUCGGUUGGGGAUGGGCUCGCGGCCUAUCAGCUUGUUGGUGAGGUAAUGGCUCACCAAGGCGUCGACGGGUAGCCGGCCUGAGAGGGUGACCGGCCACACUGGGACUGAGACACGGCCCAGACUCCUACGGGAGGCAGCAGUGGGGAAUAUUGCACAAUGGGCGCAAGCCUGAUGCAGCAACGCCGCGUGAGGGACGACGGCCUUCGGGUUGUAAACCUCUUUUAGCAGGGAAGAAGCGAAAGUGACGGUACCUGCAGAAAAAGCGCCGGCUAACUACGUGCCAGCAGCCGCGGUAAUACGUAGGGCGCAAGCGUUAUCCGGAAUUAUUGGGCGUAAAGAGCUCGUAGGCGGUUUGUCGCGUCUGCUGUGAAAUCCGGAGGCUCAACCUCCGGCCUGCAGUGGGUACGGGCAGACUAGAGUGCGGUAGGGGAGAUUGGAAUUCCUGGUGUAGCGGUGGAAUGCGCAGAUAUCAGGAGGAACACCGAUGGCGAAGGCAGAUCUCUGGGCCGUAACUGACGCUGAGGAGCGAAAGGGUGGGGAGCAAACAGGAUUAGAUACCCUGGUAGUCC
Molecule: ribosomal RNA, 777 nt
Filed under: uncultured bacterium
Lineage: Bacteria
Description: bacterial SSU rRNA
Rfam family: Bacterial small subunit ribosomal RNA
Source: RNAcentral